Non-coding RNA from Solanum lycopersicum (tomato), 1469 nucleotides. The record is from RefSeq and is a predicted model, not a curated record. Lineage: Eukaryota; Viridiplantae; Streptophyta; Magnoliopsida; Solanales; Solanaceae.
ACCUAAUAAUAAAUCCAAAUUUUGUAUUUUUCAUCCACAAAAUUCCCAAAUACCAAAAUUUUUGAUCUCUCAUUCUCCAAUUCACAAUUCUCAUCUGAAGCGACAGCUUCGAGAUUUACAAAAUUGAUCUGAAAUCUUCUUAGUUAUUGACUUUGUAAUCUCCAUCUCUGAUUCCUUCGUCCUCCGUGGAUUGCUAACCCUUUGUCACCACCUCAAGAAUCGAGAGAAUUUAAACGUUUGUUAUCAUUAUUUGCUUCUCAUUUCAACUCGAAUAUGUUUGAAAAAGGUCCUUCAAAGACAAGUAAAGUUCGUUGACCUACUUUAUUAAAAGAUGUAUGGAAUCUACCACCUAAAAAAGUUGUUGUGUCAUUUAAUAGUCGUAAUCAGUCAAUCGGAAAAGAGGGACGAAAACUGGUUAGCUUUCUAGGGAUAGUUGCUAGAACUCCAGAUUUGACACCGUCAAAUACAAAUGAUUGGAGAGUGUUCAUGACGAAGAAAAGACAAUAUUGGUGAAAUUUGUGAAGAAAAAGUUCUCUAUUCCAAUAUGCGGAGAAGAGUUCGUGAAAAAGUCAAUAGGGAAAAAAUGGAGGGACUAUAAAUGUGACUUGAAGGCGAUGUAUGUGACCAAAUAUAAGACCAAAGAUGCCUUGAUGAAAAAUAGACCAGCUCACAUACCAAGGGAUCAAUGGAAUAGUCUCGUUUCGUAUUGGCUUUCUGAAAAACACAGGAACUGAUGUUUUAUUUCUCAUCCUAGAAGCGUAGUCAAACAAAAGAAUCAGUAGAGCUAACCAAAAAAUGGCUCACACGGGUGGAUCCAAAAUCAUAGCAACCUUGAUGAAUGAACAGGACUUGAUGAAAGAGAAGUUGAGUAAUGAUGAGAUACUUGAGGAACAAUCUCAUGACAGUGUUGCCUGGGAAGGAGAUGUAUAUUCUCAAGUGUUGGGAAAAGAAAAAAGUGGUUUUUCAAUAGCUGAUGCUAGUGAACACAACGAUUCCUUCCAAAAAAUUGUAGGCCAUUUAUCAGGGAAUGAAAUAUAUGUCAUAGCUUGUGUGAUUUUUUCAGUAAUCUUGAAUUUUUUAUCAUAGAUUAGAGGUGUCAUAGGAUAGGCAAAACCUUCCCUAUCAGGGAUGUAGUUCAAGGGUCUAUUUACAAAUAUAUUUCCUUGAUAUACUAAAUUUUGAGGCUAUUGCCUUUGAUAUGUCACAUUGUAGUCCUUCUAGGUAACACUAGGCCUGUGGUUUUCUCUGCAAAAUCAUGUCUGUAAGUGUUCAAGAUGCUAUGUCCUGUGGGUUUCGUUUGAUUUUCUAAGUUCUAUUUAUUGUAUGUUGGAAGUUUGGAUUUUGAUAGUCAUGUGUCUGUUGGAGGAGGAGGGGAUGGCUCGUUCAAGUUGUUGUAUGGAUUGUUUUUCUCUGCAUAUCAUGCUUAAUAUAAUCUUGAUGCUAUGGCUUGUGGAAAACAUAACAGUAAA